GUCUAUGUAGAUUAUUGUAAAUCGUGAUGCUGUUAACUUCAAGAAGGAAUUUUAUUUUCCGUAGUCG
RNAcentral lists this transfer RNA (67 nucleotides) under Senga ophiocephalina. RNAcentral's name for it is "tRNA-Asn". Lineage: Eukaryota; Metazoa; Platyhelminthes; Cestoda; Bothriocephalidea; Bothriocephalidae. The record is from RNAcentral.